Molecule: ribosomal RNA, 938 nt
Rfam family: Eukaryotic large subunit ribosomal RNA
UCAAUAAGCGGAGGAAAAGAAACUAACAAAGGAUUCCCCUAGUAACUGCGAGUGAAGCGGGAAAAGCUCAAAUUUAAAAUCUGGCGGUCUUUUGGCUGUCCGAGUUGUAAUCUAGAGAAGUGUUAUCCGCGCUGGACCGUGUACAAGUCUCCUGGAAUGGAGCAUCAUAGAGGGUGAGAAUCCCGUCUUUGACAUGGACUACCAGGGCUUUGUGAUGCGCUCUCAAAGAGUCGAGUUGUUUGGGAAUGCAGCUCAAAAUGGGUGGUAAAUUCCAUCUAAAGCUAAAUAUUGGCGAGAGACCGAUAGCGAACAAGUACCGUGAGGGAAAGAUGAAAAGAACUUUGGAAAGAGAGUUAAACAGUACGUGAAAUUGCUGAAAGGGAAACGCUUGAAGUCAGUCGCGUCAUCCAGGGAUCAACCUUGCUUUUGCUUGGUGCACUUUCUGGUUUGAUGGGUCAGCAUCAAUUUUGAUCAUUGGAAAAAGGUUUAGGGAAUGUGGCAUCUUUGGAUGUGUUAUAGCCCUUGGCCAUAUGCAAUGGUUGGGAUUGAGGAACUCAGCACGCCGCAAGGCCGGGUUUUUUAACCACGUACGUGCUUAGGAUGCUGGCAAAAUGGCUUUAAUCGACCCGUCUUGAAACACGGACCAAGGAGUCUAACAUGCCUGCGAGUGUUUGGGUGGAAAACCCGAGCGCGUAAUGAAAGUGAAAAGUUGAGAUCCCUGUCGUGGGGAGCAUCGACGCCCGGACCAGACCUUUUGUGACGGUUCCGCGGUAGAGCAUGUAUGUUGGGACCCGAAAGAUGGUGAACUAUGCCUGAAUAGGGUGAAUCCAGAGGAAACUCUGGUGGAGGCUCGUAGCGAUUCUGACGUGCAAAUCGAUCGUCAAAUUUGGGUAUAGGGGCGAAAGACUAAUCGAACCAUCUAGUAGCUGGUUCCUGCC